This is a long non-coding RNA of Nicotiana tabacum (common tobacco), 392 nucleotides long. RefSeq lists it as uncharacterized. The record is from RefSeq and is a predicted model, not a curated record. Lineage: Eukaryota; Viridiplantae; Streptophyta; Magnoliopsida; Solanales; Solanaceae.
CCUCCACACAUUGCACCUUUUUCUAUUCUCACCAGAGGUAAAUGUUUUUGCAUAAUAACACAUCUCAUCGUCUUCCUUCUCUCACUUUCAGUGGUAAAUUAAAUCUCCUCUGUUUUAUUUACUUCUUCCUUCAAGUUCACAAGUUUCCUUCCAUGGGCCCAUGCUUCACUGGGUCUGGGGGUGUGAUUUUCUUAAAUGGUUGGAUCAACAUGAUGAAUUGUUCUUGAAGAAUUAUAGUUUGAUACUUUGAAAGACCAAAAAAUGGAACAGUUAGUUAGAUAGGAUAUGUAUGUCUAAGAUAGAUAUUGAAUUGUAUUGCACAUCCUCUUUAGUGUGAUGUAAUUGUCAUUCGUUUAUCUUAAGAAUUAAUUUAUACUUAUUUGUAAAUAACA